Molecule: ribosomal RNA, 164 nt
Filed under: uncultured bacterium
Lineage: Bacteria
Description: partial 16S rRNA
Rfam family: Bacterial small subunit ribosomal RNA
Source: RNAcentral
UAGGGAAUCUUCCACAAUGGACGCAAGUCUGAUGGAGCAACGCCGCGUGAGUGAAGAAGGUUUUCGGAUCGUAAAGCUCUGUUGUUGGUGAAGAAGGAUAGAGGCAGUAACUGGUCUUUAUUUGACGGUAGUCAACCAGAAAGUCACGGCUAACUACGUGCCAC